CUCCUGUUGAACGCUGUCGACACCAGGACCAAGCGGCCUCGGGCCGUGCGGCCGCUCUGUUUGUGGUGCUUGGGCAAUAAAAUUUGGGGCACGGACUGGCUCGGGAUUGUUCUUUCUCUCCAUGUGGCCCCCAUCCCUGUGCUGCCCCUUGUCCCCUUGCUGUCCCCAUCCCUGUCCCAUGUCUGUCCCUGUCCUACCCCUGUCCCCGUCUCGUCUCCAUCCCCUUGCUGUCCCCGUCCCGUUCCUGUCCCCCCCCCCCCCCCCCCCCCCCCCCCCGGCCGUUCCCGGGGUCAGGGCCGAGGGAAGGCCGCGGCCCACGGCCUCUGCCCCGGGCCCGGCGCCCCCUGCGUCACAGUGACGUCAGCGCCGUUACGCAACCCCCCCCCCGCCUCCCGGCCCCGCCCCCUCCUCCCGGCCCCGCCCCCUUCCCUCAGGCCCCGCCCCCUUCCCCCGGUCCCGUCCGGGCGCCCCCUGGCGGCUCCUCGGGCCCGCAUUUCCCAUCAGCCCCCGGGGCGGGCGGAAGAUGGCGGAGCCGCCCGGGGCCGCGGCCGAGGACUCGUGGGGCAAGCGCUGCUCGGGGACUGCGCCCGCAAGGGGAGCGUCGUGUCCCGCGCCAACAGCAUCGGCUCCACCAGCGCCUCGUCCGUCCCCAACACGGGUGGGUUUUGGGGGCAGGCCCCCAGUCGUUGCCUCUUCUGAGCCCUACAGUUGGGUUUUGGGGUCCAUCUCCUGGUCAUUGUCUCCUCCAUCCCCAUUAUGGGUGGGUUUUGGGGUCUGUCUCCCAGUUAUUCCCUUCUCCGUCCCCAUCACAGGUGGGUUUUGGGGUCUAUCCCUGGGUCAUUCCCUUCAUCCCCCUGCCCACUGCCUGGCCCCAUGUGGAGAAAGCCGGGGGUGCCCCAGGGGUGUCCCCGAGCUGCAACAGAGCUGCGGGAGGAGAGGGCCCAGCUUUAGCCCCCCAUCACGUGCUCACAUUUUUUUGUCGCCCCGCA
Molecule: long non-coding RNA, 989 nt
Filed under: Anas platyrhynchos platyrhynchos (common mallard)
Lineage: Eukaryota; Metazoa; Chordata; Aves; Anseriformes; Anatidae
Description: lncRNA (ENSAPLG00000028111.1)
Source: RNAcentral